This 501-nucleotide ribosomal RNA is filed under the name uncultured bacterium. RNAcentral's name for it is "partial 16S ribosomal RNA". It matches the Rfam family "Bacterial small subunit ribosomal RNA", at positions 28 to 506 of the family's 1533-position model. The record is from RNAcentral.
GACGAACGCUGGCGGCGUGCCUAAUACAUGCAAGUCGAACGAACCGCGACUGAGUGCUUGCACUUGGUCAAGGUGAGUGGCGAACGGGUGAGUAACACGUGGGUAACCUACCUCAUAGUGGGGGAUAACAGUCGGAAACGACUGCUAAUACCGCAUAGGACAUAGGAUCACAUGAUCCAGUGAGGAAAGGUGGCGCAAGCUAUCGCUAAGAGAUGGACUCGCGGUGCAUUAGCUAGUUGGUAGGGUAAAGGCCUACCAAGGCGAUGAUGCAUAGCCGACCUGAGGGGUUGAUCGGCCACAUUGGGACUGAGACACGGCCCAAACUCCUACGAGAGGCAGCAGUAGGGAAUCUACCGCAAUGGGCGCAAGACUGACGGAGCAACGCCGCGUGAGUGAAGAAGGUCUUCGGAUCGUAAAGCUCUGUUGUUAGAGAAGAACAGCGCAUAGAGUAACUGCUAUGCGUGUGACGGUAUCUAACCAGAAAACCACGGCUAACUACGU